This 426-nucleotide ribosomal RNA is filed under the name uncultured prokaryote. RNAcentral's name for it is "bacterial SSU rRNA". It matches the Rfam family "Bacterial small subunit ribosomal RNA", at positions 355 to 796 of the family's 1533-position model. The record is from RNAcentral.
UGGGGAAUUUUCCGCAAUGGGCGCAAGCCUGACGGAGCAACGCCGCGUGAGGGAGGAAGGCCUGUGGGUUGUAAACCUCUUUUCUCUAGGAAGAAGUUCUGACGGUACUAGAGGAAUCAGCAUCGGCUAACUCCGUGCCAGCAGCCGCGGUAAGACGGAGGAUGCAAGCGUUAUCCGGAAUUAUUGGGCGUAAAGCGUCCGUAGGCGGCCGAAUAAGUCAACUGUUAAAGACCGGGGCUUAACCCUGGGAGUGCAGUUGAAACUGUUUAGCUUGAGCGUGGUAGGGGUAGAGGGAAUUCCUAGUGUAGCGGUGAAAUGCGUAGAUAUUAGGAAGAACACCAGUGGCGAAGGCGCUCUACUGGGCCAUGACUGACGCUGAUGGACGAAAGCUAGGGGAGCGAAAGGGAUUAGAUACCCCCGUAGUCC